CCAAACCACUGGAAGGUGGUGAUUCUGGGCAUUAGUGGGACACGAUCUGCAAAGACUCCCAGGGAAAGGGAAAGUCAGUUCAACAUGCUGAGGGCAGAAUUUGCCUUGGGCUCUCUUCUGCAUCAAUUUGUGGAGACCUACCUCAUUUGGUGUCAGCUGAUCUACAGCCUCUAGUUUUUGUGAGGACAGGAUGAGUCCAGGGACCGAGCUGCUGCCUGUGGCCCUUCCAGUGCUGUGCGUCUGGAAUGGAAGCCCUCUGAUGAGCAUACGUUCUCUCCCUCACCCACCUUUUUUUUAAUUCCCCUUGCAUCUCUGCCUUCCUAGCUCCCUGGCCAUCCCUCAAACAAGAGAGAACAUGUGAUCAAUUACAAGUGAAUGGAAUUCUUUACUCUCCUGAAAAGCCAUCUAGUUUAUCAAGAGGUGAUCCAGCUCUCUUCCUUUUUAGGGGGAAGAGGACAGGAAAUGAAGAGUUUUCAGUGCUGAUUGCCAAAAAUUGGAGUGCUUAAGAUCAUUGUAGGCUCUGAAGCCAGUCUGCCAGGAUUCAAAUCCCUUCUUGGCCACUAAAUAACUGGAUGAUACUUCUUGACUCUUUUUUCAUCAUAUGCUGAAAAGCACGUCAUUGCACAAGGCCAUGAUGUCACUAGAAACCUACACAAAACUGUGUCUCUCUGGAAGAACUUCUUAAACUCACGAUCUCGGAUAUUGACAAAGUUAGGUGGGUGCCCCAUAGGUCUGAUGUAUUCAAAAUCUGAACGCCAGAAAUUUUUCUGGUAUGCUAGUCACAGAAAAAGCUUACUGAUGUUCCUUAGGCAAUGGCAUCGUUCCUGUAAUUUUUUUCCUUUACAUCAUCAUAGGAGCUCCACAGUGAGGCUGAGGGUUCCUUAGAACAUGGCUGGUCCCGGGGCUCCACAGAGGAGCAGCCGUCGACUCCGAGAGUUGAAAGUGUGUGUGCCGGGAGGUGCACAGUCACAGGCUUUCAAGAAACACCCUGUGCAUAUUUCUGCGGUUUGUGUUACUGUUCAUGGUUGUGUGGGGAGAAGCAGCAUCUGAGGGAAGAAAGGAAGCCAAGUCUUUUGAGUAAAGAGGUGUUUGCUUCUGCCAGUACCCUGGUGAUGGUGGGCUUUUAUUUGGUUUUGUCUUUUAAUAUAUUCAAGCUGCAUGAGGAAAAGAAACAAAAGGUACUCAGGACAAAAUGUAGUUUGAAUCACUCUUAUUCUACUUGGGCCAGUAAAGUGCAGAUGUGCAAUUAAUCACAAUUUUUUUUUUUUAAAGAUUUUAUUUUUUCCUUUUUCUCCCCAAAGCC
RNAcentral lists this long non-coding RNA (1303 nucleotides) under Equus asinus (donkey). RNAcentral describes it as "lncRNA (ENSEASG00005027766.1)". Lineage: Eukaryota; Metazoa; Chordata; Mammalia; Perissodactyla; Equidae. The record is from RNAcentral.